Molecule: ribosomal RNA, 254 nt
Filed under: uncultured bacterium
Lineage: Bacteria
Description: partial 16S ribosomal RNA
Rfam family: Bacterial small subunit ribosomal RNA
Source: RNAcentral
UACAGAGGGGGCUAGCGUUGUUCGGAAUCACUGGGUGUAAAGGGUGCGUAGGCUGUCCGUUAAGUCUGAUGUGAAAGCCCUGGGCUCAACUCAGGAAUUGCACUGGAAACUGGCGGACUCAGAGUACCGGAGAGGGAAGCGGAAUUCCUGGUGUAGCGGUGAAAUGCGUAGACACCAGGAGGAACACCGGUGGCGAAAGCGGUUUCCUGGCCGAGUACUGACGCUGAGGCACGAAAGCGUGGGGAGCGAACGGG